RNAcentral lists this ribosomal RNA (597 nucleotides) under Lelliottia amnigena. RNAcentral's name for it is "bacterial SSU rRNA". It matches the Rfam family "Bacterial small subunit ribosomal RNA", at positions 1 to 589 of the family's 1533-position model. Lineage: Bacteria; Pseudomonadati; Pseudomonadota; Gammaproteobacteria; Enterobacterales; Enterobacteriaceae. The record is from RNAcentral.
AAAUUGAAGAGUUUGAUCAUGGCUCAGAUUGAACGCUGGCGGCAGGCCUAACACAUGCAAGUCGAGCGGUAGCACAGAGAGCUUGCUCUCGGGUGACGAGCGGCGGACGGGUGAGUAAUGUCUGGGAAACUGCCUGAUGGAGGGGGAUAACUACUGGAAACGGUAGCUAAUACCGCAUAACGUCGCAAGACCAAAGAGGGGGACCUUCGGGCCUCUUGCCAUCAGAUGUGCCCAGAUGGGAUUAGCUAGUAGGUGGGGUAAUGGCUCACCUAGGCGACGAUCCCUAGCUGGUCUGAGAGGAUGACCAGCCACACUGGAACUGAGACACGGUCCAGACUCCUACGGGAGGCAGCAGUGGGGAAUAUUGCACAAUGGGCGCAAGCCUGAUGCAGCCAUGCCGCGUGUAUGAAGAAGGCCUUCGGGUUGUAAAGUACUUUCAGCGAGGAGGAAGGCACUGUGGUUAAUAACCACAGUGAUUGACGUUACUCGCAGAAGAAGCACCGGCUAACUCCGUGCCAGCAGCCGCGGUAAUACGGAGGGUGCAAGCGUUAAUCGGAAUUACUGGGCGUAAAGCGCACGCAGGCGGUCUGUCAAGUC